Molecule: ribosomal RNA, 256 nt
Filed under: uncultured bacterium
Lineage: Bacteria
Description: partial 16S ribosomal RNA
Rfam family: Bacterial small subunit ribosomal RNA
Source: RNAcentral
UACGGAGGGUGCAAGCAUUAAUCGGAUUUACUGGGCGUAAAGGGCGCGUAGGCGGAUCUACAAGUCAAAUGUGAAAUUCCGGAGCUCAACUUCGGAGCGGCAUUUGAAACUGUAGGUCUAUAGAGGGAUGGCGGAGAAAAUGGAAUUCCACAUGUAGCGGUGAAAUGCGUAGAUAUGUGGAAGAACACCGGUGGCGAAGGCGGGUCUCUGGGGCCGAUACUGACGCUGAGGAGCGAAAGCGUGGGGAGCGAACAGG